GUGGGGAUUUCGACAUAAGAGGGUGGGCUGCCGGCUGCGCUACCGGCGGCGGCGGCGGCCUCUCUGAGGCGGCGACGUCCGCUUGAUGCAGAAGCCCUCCCGUACCGGCCUAGAGUUGCUUCCUGAGAGGAUGUGGCUAUGCAAGACGCCGCGACUACGCCUUUGGUGGCGGAGGAACUAGUUGAAGAUGAGGCUCUUGAUGUUCUCGAGCCGCGGUAACGGUCCCACCUAAGUAUCCUAAGCGUUACCUGUCUAUUGCCAACUACCGGUUCAACAGUGACUAGGUCUAUACUAAGAGUCCCUCCCAAGAUUCAACCAUAUAGUAGCGGAGCGUACCUUCCUCGGUAAACGUGGUGUAAACGAAGUUCACGAAAUACUUCUACUGCUGUACCAGCGGGAAUUGUUCGGAAGGCCAAACGUUCAAGACGGUUUUCCUUAGAAGGUCGUCGCGUGACAAGAUCGUGUCGAAGUCACCUUUCUCACCUUCUACGGGGGUAGUUCGACGAGAUUCUCUUUUUUACACGUCAAUGUAGGACAUGGACAAGUAGCUAAUCCUUCCCCGUGCAGUCCAGAUGACGAAACACGGUUCUGUUUCGAACGGUUUCAAGUUGAACGUAGAAUAAAACGUCUUCCACGACGUUUACGUCUCUUCUUUUCCCUACCUUGACUCCAACCGUUUCUUGCCUUUUAAAGUUUUAAGAUAGCUCGUAAUCAUUGACCAUAUGAACUUGUGCUACUCCUACACCAAUGAGUUGGGUAUCCUAACCAAGUAAUGGGACCUCAACGUCUCCCUGAAAUACACCGUACAAGGAGUCCCUUCGGUCGGUACUCGUUUCACACACAAGAACUCUCUGAACGCGUGGUUUUAGUUUGCGACCAGGUCCAACUUUAAGUAAGUCCUGCCGGAGUGGUUUAGGCUUAUGUGGAACGUAUGUAACCUGUGGGAGAACAACUACUAGGAGAGAUAACAUAACCACCCGUCGGAUUUAAAGUACUGGACCUUAGAUGAUCAUGCCUAUAAAGAAAACGUAUACUGCCUCCAAUACUCUCCGGAAAUGUCGGACAAGGGCCCCUGACACCCAUAGUGAACGUACGAGUAACCGACCAGGAGAGAGUAGGUUGGUGCUUAUUCACUGACAGACACCCCCAUUCACCGGCCUGCACGUCGUCCACUGACGUCUAGAUGUGCUUCUGUACCAGUACCCACAACAGAUCAGAGUAAAUGUUUUGCUAAGAAAGUAAUAUAGUCACGUGCUCCUUCGUUCGAAAACGUAAUAAAUAUUUUUCCCUUCUUCUUUUUUAGGGGUAGUUACCUCUCUUUGUCUCUUUCUAGUUGUGACGAAUAAAAACAGCUACGUCAAUAUCAGUACGUUCUUUAUGGAGUUAUAAAAGUUAGAUUGUAAUCUUAACAUUUAUAUUUGAGGUCAUAAAGUCAAACACAAGUCGAAGAUCAACAAGUGAAAUCCACUAGACCGACCGUCUUGCUUGAUACGUUAACUGACAAACUAGUAAAUAAGUAGGAAAGAAAGUAUCCUUACGACUGUACUAUAAAAAGAACAAUCAGGGAAAGGAAAAUCCAAGUGACUGGUUGUUUGCUAUUACUGACUUGUGGUCCACACACAAAGGCAAUGAAAAAAAAACCAACCGAUACGUCUACGACUUCUAUUGGCGGGGAGACGGCGUAUAGGAUGUUUGAGCUCUCCUCGCAACGCUAGGUGUUCAACUAUGAACUCGAGUAUUGAAAGGUAAACUUUCAUACACGUAGGUUACUCAACUCGUGAGUCAUUCUCAAGUGUCCAGUACAAAAUGUUCGGACACCUCUACCUCCGAUAACUUGCGAUUGCAGGCGUAUACUCCACAACUCACAUAGAAUGCCUGACAGUCUGACUCAAAAACGCACACCCCGUCGCACCUGUUAUGUCCUUUACCAUAACGACUCAAAUUUACCAGUGACCUGCGAAGACUCCCCCUUGGUACUCCUUGUAAACACAAUCUACUACCUUGUCUCAUUUGAAAAGUCCAGUGACGCAGACUUCUACGUACGUGUGUCGGUUUCCUACCUGAUUGACGACACGCACGCACACACGCGCACUCGCACACACAAGCACAGCAUAUAUACGUGUGUCGUUAGUUUUAAGUAAUCUUAAAACCGAUUCUAAUAGUAGACGUUCGUACAUUUGAUGAGGGAGGCAGGGUAAUAUAUUCUUGCAAAAAAUGUGGUGAUUACAGUUUAGUAUAAUACCCUACCUCCCUCAUCAUCUAAUGUUACAUGAUCAUAAGGCUUGGUUCAAAAAACAACAACAACGCAUACUUGUUCAAACUUACGCUAUCGGGUUAUCGGGACGAAAACUUAGCUCCUGGUAAGUCUAAACUAACGACUUUGAUCUUGCUUGUCUUUACUUAAGUAGAGACUUGUACUUAGACUAUGCCGCCUAAAUGGUCAUCGCAUAUGCCUCACUGCCUCAAUACUGGCCGGAAACACGGCUUGCGCACAAGCGUCGUCGUCUCAAUGUGCUUUGUGUGCUGUGGUCGUGUUCCCCUGACGCGCCGCUGUGGUAGGGAGGGAGGGAGGGAGAGAUGUGGUUACCUUCCGAGCGGCCGCUGCACAGAGGGGCUCCGGCUGCGCGAGGGGCUACCGAAGCAGCUCUCGAGGAGGCGGCUGGUCCGGGUCGGUCAGAGGAGGCGGGGGCGGAGGCGGCGGCCGCUAGGGGACGUAGGGCGGGAGCCGGGACUAGUGCUCCCGCGGCGGGCGCGGCUGCCGCUCCUUUGGGAUCCGCGAGGUAUGUGGGGGCGGCUGCGGCGGCUACGGGACGCCUCGGAGAGGUACCGGCGGCGGCGAAGCCUCGGCCUCGCACGGGGGCUCGUCGUCCCCGGGCGGCGUCUGUAUCCUCCACGGUUUCUACGUUACUUCCUCUCGAAACACCAUCUCGUUAGCCUUGGCGACCGGUUAGGUUUCCUAUCACCGCUCGGUUUCGCAUUCCAGCACUUCGCGUUGUCAUUCGAUCUCUUCCUGUCCCUCAACAACGUUGAACGGGUCUCCAUGGUACCUCACCAUCGCCUCUCCCUACGUCGGUAACGUCAAUUUCUUUUUAAUCUUAGAGAAACAUCUCUUAAAGUCGCAGUUUUGUUUUACAAUUUCCUUCUCACGGUUUCCCACAGUUGUCUCCCCGUCUUGAAAGCCUACCUCUACAGGCUGUUUAAGCUCUUACGAUACUUCCGACAGUCACAGUUCGAACUCCUCGUCUUUUUGCUUACGUAACGAGUCAAACUUCUCUUGUUAAGCGACUCUUUAUUUGAGUUUCUAGAACGACUAGUUAUAUUAUAGUAAGUCGUCUUUAUACGAGUAGUCGACUUUCUUUUCUGCGACCUUGAACUCGAACGACUAGACUUUUAAGUUGUCGUAGUUCGCUUUCGUCGAGUUCUUGUACGGGUUUACCAUAACAUACGACUCGUUCAAAGAGUUGAACAGUGAUGACUCUUCUUGGACGCCCACGUCGAUCGACGACUACCACUUUUUAAAGUCGUCAAAGUCCUACGGGACAGUUUUUCGUUACUUCACAAACUUUGAAUGUUCUUCCUCUACCUUGUCUACCACUUCCGCUAUUUUCUGAAGUCCUUCGUUUUACUUCGGGACUUCUUGUUCACACUCUUAAGUCUAUAACGAGAACACUUCGAGUAACUCCUCGCACUCCACUACUUCUUCGUUGAUCUGUUUAUAUUCUUAGUUUUCCUGUUUGAGCUCAGGGACACGGCCAGCGAUGUCCGUCUUUCCUUUGUUUCGGGUAGACAGUCAUAAGGAUUACUACGGAGAUUGGUUCUUCUACAAUGUUCAGUCUUUGUUUCGGGUAGAAGGUCAUAAGGACUACUGCGGAGAUUGGUUCUUCUACAAUGUUCAGUCGUCGGUCUCCAUAUCGCAAAACCACGAAGUACCACGUAUGGGAACCACGACGACGAGAGAUACCAUAUUGAGCCGCUCUAAAAGACUUAGGACCGUUUGCCUAUAUUCGCUAUGAAAAUGGGACGAAACGAACACUAAGAGACCCUCGACACCAUACACAUAUAGUGUGUGGGUUGGCUUUGAUAAACGGAUUUAUAGAGUAGCAAACUCGUUAAAGUCUCACCGAAACCAAAGAACCACGUUUCUCGACAACUCAAGCUCAAACAUUGGUCUGGUCGCAAUGUUAAACAAGGAAAAAGCACACUAACCUACCAUCUUGUAGUCAGAAAAUCUUUGUUUGGCUUACACACGUGACCACUUGACUAGUUGUAAGACACAAUUCGUUCAAAAUAUGAGUAUAAUCGCUCCUCACAAGACAGUUACACAAUUCAGUCAAAAUAUGAAUCAUGAGGGAGGCUAGGUAUUAUUCACAGCGUCGAAACUUGAUUCCAACCUAGCCCCCACAUGAAGUAUGCCUUCUUUAGUUCGUUAUAUAUGAGGACCAUAGGUCCCUC
This 4452-nucleotide ribosomal RNA is filed under the name Triticum aestivum (bread wheat). Its description in RNAcentral is "partial small subunit ribosomal RNA". The record is from RNAcentral. Lineage: Eukaryota; Viridiplantae; Streptophyta; Magnoliopsida; Poales; Poaceae.